This 493-nucleotide ribosomal RNA is filed under the name uncultured bacterium. Its description in RNAcentral is "partial 16S ribosomal RNA". It matches the Rfam family "Bacterial small subunit ribosomal RNA", at positions 28 to 507 of the family's 1533-position model. The record is from RNAcentral.
GACGAACGCUGGCGGCGUGCUUACACAUGCAAGUCGAACGGUGAAGCGCCUUCCUUUUUGGUGGGUGUGGAUGAGUGGCGAACGGGUGAGUAACACGUGAGUAACCUGCCCCCUUCUUCUGGAUAACCGCAUGAAAGUGUGGCUAAUACGGGAUAUUCUGGGUCUGUCGCAUGAUGGGUCUGGGAAAGAUAUUGUUUCGGUGGGGGAUGGGCUCGCGGCCUAUCAGCUUGUUGGUGGGGUGAUGGCCUACCAAGGCGGUGACGGGUAGCCGGCCUGAGAGGGUGGACGGUCACACUGGGACUGAGACACGGCCCAGACUCCUACGGGAGGCAGCAGUGGGGAAUAUUGCACAAUGGGCGCAAGCCUGAUGCAGCGACGCCGCGUGAGGGAUGGAGGCCUUCGGGUUGUGAACCUCUUUCGCCAGUGAAGCAGGCCUGCCUCGUUUGUGGGUGGGUUGACGGUAGCUGGAUAAGAAGCGCCGGCUAACUACGUG